RNAcentral lists this transfer RNA (68 nucleotides) under Halesus radiatus. RNAcentral describes it as "tRNA-Trp". The record is from RNAcentral. Lineage: Eukaryota; Metazoa; Arthropoda; Insecta; Trichoptera; Limnephilidae.
AAAGUUUUAAGUUAAAUAAACUAAUAAUCUUCAAAAUUAUCAUUAAAAUUCAAUUAUUUUAAGCUUUA